UGGGGAAUUUUCCGCAAUGGGCGCAAGCCUGACGGAGCAAUACCGCGUGAGGGAGGAAGGCUUUUGGGUUGUAAACCUCUUUUCUCAAGGAAGAAGCACUGACGGUACUUGAGGAAUCAGCAUCGGCUAACUCCGUGCCAGCAGCCGCGGUAAUACGGAGGAUGCAAGCGUUAUUCGGAAUUAUUGGGCGUAAAGCGUCUGUAGGUGGUUUAAGAAGUCUGCUGUUAAAUAUUAGAGCUUAACUCUGAAAAAGCAGUGGAAACUGUUAGGCUAGAGUAUGGUAUGGGUAGAGGGAAUUUCCAGUGUAGCGGUGAAAUGCGUAGAUAUUGGGAAGAACACCAGUAGCGAAAGCGCUCUACUAGACCAUUACUGACACUCAGAGACGAAAGCUAGGGGAGUGAAUGGGAUUAGAUACCCCUGUAGUCC
RNAcentral lists this ribosomal RNA (426 nucleotides) under uncultured prokaryote. RNAcentral describes it as "bacterial SSU rRNA". It matches the Rfam family "Bacterial small subunit ribosomal RNA", at positions 355 to 796 of the family's 1533-position model. The record is from RNAcentral.